This 465-nucleotide ribosomal RNA is filed under the name uncultured bacterium. Its description in RNAcentral is "partial 16S ribosomal RNA". It matches the Rfam family "Bacterial small subunit ribosomal RNA", at positions 28 to 507 of the family's 1533-position model. The record is from RNAcentral.
GAUGAACGCUGGCGGCGUGCUUAACACAUGCAAGUCGAACGGAAAGGCUCCUGCUUGCAGGGGUACUCGAGUGGCGAACGGGUGAGUAACACGUGGGUGAUCUGCCCUGCACUUCGGGAUAAGCCUGGGAAACUGGGUCUAAUACCGGAUAGGACCACAUUUUGGAUGGUGUGGUGGAAAGUUUUUCGGUGUGGGAUGAGCUCGCGGCCUAUCAGCUUGUUGGUGGGGUAAUGGCCUACCAAGGCGUCGACGGGUAGCCGGCCUGAGAGGGUGUACGGCCACAUUGGGACUGAGAUACGGCCCAGACUCCUACGGGAGGCGGCAGUGGGGAAUAUUGCACAAUGGGCGCAAGCCUGAUGCAGCGACGCCGCGUGGGGGAUGACGGCCUUCGGGUUGUAAACUCCUUUCGCUAGGGACGAAGCGCAAGUGACGGUACCUGGAGAAGAAGCACCGGCUAACUACGUG